GUCGCCUCCUAAAAGGUAACGGAGGCGCUCAAAGGUUCCCUCAGAAUGGUUGGAAAUCAUUCAUAGAGUGUAAAGGCAUAAGGGAGCUUGACUGCGAGACCUACAAGUCGAGCAGGGUCGAAAGACGGACUUAGUGAUCCGGUGGUUCCGCAUGGAAGGGCCAUCGCUCAACGGAUAAAAGCUACCCCGGGGAUAACAGGCUUAUCUCCCCCAAGAGUUCACAUCGACGGGGAGGUUUGGCACCUCGAUGUCGGCUCAUCGCAUCCUGGGGCUGUAGUCGGUCCCAAGGGUUGGGCUGUUCGCCCAUUAAAGCGGUACGCGAGCUGGGUUCAGAACGUCGUGAGACAGUUCGGUCCCUAUCCGUC
This 365-nucleotide ribosomal RNA is filed under the name Staphylococcus aureus. RNAcentral's name for it is "partial 23S ribosomal RNA". It matches the Rfam family "Bacterial large subunit ribosomal RNA", at positions 2282 to 2646 of the family's 2925-position model. The record is from RNAcentral. Lineage: Bacteria; Bacillati; Bacillota; Bacilli; Caryophanales; Staphylococcaceae.